UGACGAGUGGCGGACGGGUGAGUAAUGCUUGGGAACUUGCCUUUGCGAGGGGGAUAACAGUUGGAAACGACUGCUAAUACCGCAUAAUGUCUACGGACCAAACGGGGCUUAGGCUCCGGCGCAAAGAGAGGCCCAAGUGAGAUUAGCUAGUUGGUAAGGUAAAGGCUUACCAAGGCGACGAUCUCUAGCUGUUCUGAGAGGAAGAUCAGCCACACUGGGACUGAGACACGGCCCAGACUCCUACGGGAGGCAGCAGUGGGGAAUAUUGCACAAUGGGGGAAACCCUGAUGCAGCCAUGCCGCGUGUGUGAAGAAGGCCUUCGGGUUGUAAAGCACUUUCAGUUGUGAGGAAAAGUUAGUAGUUAAUACCUGCUAGCCGUGACGUUAACAACAGAAGAAGCACCGGCUAACUCCGUGCCAGCAGCCGCGGUAAUACGGAGGGUGCGAGCGUUAAUCGGAAUUACUGGGCGUAAAGCGCACGCAGGCGGUUUGUUAAGCUAGAUGUG
RNAcentral lists this ribosomal RNA (505 nucleotides) under Alteromonas tagae. RNAcentral's name for it is "bacterial SSU rRNA". It matches the Rfam family "Bacterial small subunit ribosomal RNA", at positions 89 to 596 of the family's 1533-position model. Lineage: Bacteria; Pseudomonadati; Pseudomonadota; Gammaproteobacteria; Alteromonadales; Alteromonadaceae. The record is from RNAcentral.